GAGAGUGGACGGCCACAUUGGGACUGAGACACGGCCCAGACUCCUGCGGGAGGCAGCAGUGGGGAAUAUUGCACAAUGGGGGGAACCCUGAUGCAGCAAUGCCGCGUGGGUGAAGAAGCACUCCGGUGCGUAAAGCCCUGUCAGCAGGGAAGAAAAUGACAGUACCUGGACAAGAAGCCCCGGCUAACUACGUGCCAGCAGCCGCGGUAAUACGUAGGGGGCAAGCGUUAUCCGGAUUUACUGGGUGUAAAGGGAGCGCAGGCGGCGUGGCAAGUCAGAUGUGAAAACCCGGGGCCCAACCCCGGGAGUGCAUUUGAAACUGCCAUGCUGGAGUGCCGGAGAGGUAAGCGGAAUUCCUAGUGUAGCGGUGAAAUGCGUAGAUAUUAGGAGGAACACCAGUGGCGGAGGCGGCUUACUGGACGGUAACUGACGCUGAGGCUCGAAAGCGUGGGGAGCAAACAGGAUUAGAUACCCUGGUAGUCCACGCCGUAAACGAU
Molecule: ribosomal RNA, 497 nt
Filed under: uncultured bacterium
Lineage: Bacteria
Description: bacterial SSU rRNA
Rfam family: Bacterial small subunit ribosomal RNA
Source: RNAcentral